GUGCCAGCCGCCGCGGUAAUACCGGCAGCCCAAGUGAUGUCCGAUCUUAUUGGGCCUAAAGCGUCCGUAGCUGGCUGCGCAAGUCCGUCGGGAAAUCCACUCGCCCAACGAGUGGGCGUCCGACGGAAACUGCACAGCUUGGGACCGGAAGGCUCGAAGGGUACGUGCGGGGUAGGAGUGAAAUCCCAUAAUCCCGCACGGGCCACCGAUGGCGAAAGCACUUCGAGAAAACGGAUCCGACAGUGAGGGACGAAAGCAAGGGUCUCCAACCGGAUUAGAACCCCCAGUGGUCC
This 293-nucleotide ribosomal RNA is filed under the name uncultured bacterium. RNAcentral describes it as "partial 16S ribosomal RNA". It matches the Rfam family "Archaeal small subunit ribosomal RNA", at positions 455 to 747 of the family's 1478-position model. The record is from RNAcentral.